This 1627-nucleotide long non-coding RNA is filed under the name Equus caballus (horse). Its description in RNAcentral is "lncRNA (ENSECAG00000045115.1)". The record is from RNAcentral. Lineage: Eukaryota; Metazoa; Chordata; Mammalia; Perissodactyla; Equidae.
GCAUGCAUCUGCUCUCCCCAUUUAAAACAGACUGGUGUGCUGGACAAUGAGAGUUCUCUUUCAGGAGGACAAGAACCCUGGACAGCCAAACGUCUGCUGGGCUAGCUCUAGUCACGCCUGCCUCUUUUUAAAGAGCACGGAACCAGAGAGGGGAUGUGAACUUGCCAGAGGUUGAGAAUCACCUCUGCUACCCUCAAUUGCCCCAUGAGCCUGCCCCCAGUGGCCAGAGGAGUGUGAUUUACAAGGUCGUUCCAUGUUGAAAAUGGAACCUCUGGGGUACCCACACUCGAUGCUUUCACGAAAAGGACCCGCUGUUGCCCUCCCAAGUAGGACCUCAUAUCACCCUCUGGCCCUGCCAUCAAUCGAUUGGCUCAGGAUAACCAGAGGACGUCAUUCAGGCCAUGGUCUUAAUGACGUAAGAGCUGCCUUGUGAAGGAGCCUGGGCCAGCCUGCUGAAGGAUGAGAGACCUCAUGGAGGAAAAUCCUAGUGCCCUGACCAACGAUCAGCCAGACCCCAGAAUCAGAGGCACCCAGCUGCCCUGACACCCACCACAGACACAUAAGAGAGUGUACUCAAGACCAGAAGAAGAAUCCAGUUGACCAGUGGACUGGGGGAGUCUCCAACCUUUGAAUCUUGGCUGGUCUUGUGACUUGCUUUGACUAAUAGAAUGUGGCAGAAACAGCACUGUACAAGUUUCAAAGCCUUGCAGCUUCUGUCUCCGCCAUCAUGGAAUGCUUCCCUGAGACCAUGUAAGGAAGCUACUCUAGCCUGCCGGAGGAGGAGAAGCCAUGCGGGAGAAGCAUGGCAUCAUGGCCCACACUUAGCAUCAGCUGCCAAAUAUACAAGUGAGCCUCUCUGGGACCUUCCAACCCAACUGACCCUCCAGCAUCCAGCAUUUUGAGUUCAGGCAGAAGCAGCAGAGGAGCCACCCCGCCGACCUACAGAAGCAUGGAGAAUGAGUCAUUGUUGCUUUAAGUUAGUAAGCUUUGGGGUGGUUUGUUACAUAGCAAAGGCUGAGUCCCUAUUUCCUCAUUCAAAUGGGAUAAUAAUACCAACCCAAUCUAUUCAUGUGUUUAUCCAACAGAGUUAUGCAUGACCUACUAUAUACUGUCUAUAGAAUAUAUAUGGAUAUAUAAUUUUGAGAAUCAAAUGAGAUAACGAAUGUUAGUAUACCUGGUAAUUUUAGUUUUAUUAUUGUUACUAGCCCCUCCAUUUCAUUGAGCUCCACCAUUUUUUAAGCACUUAAAUUCCCUUUAUAUUUGAUCCUCUCAAAGGAUCAGAGAGCAUCAUUUCCAGUCUUCUCUGAUGCAGCUGGUCCUUUGGCACCUGACCUGCUACUCUCAUUAGCAGAUAGGUCUGCCCUUAGAUAAAGGACCUCUGGAACUUUGUUCUUACAGGGCCAGAAAUUCACUCAUUACAGGAAGCAUACAACCACUGCGAUAAUGCGCAAUGAUGGAGGGCUUUCCCGUUACCAUCCCAAUAAGAGCCUUUUAAAAAAUUCUUUAACAACGAUAAUAAUGACUAAAGUUUAUUGAACACUUACUAUGUGCCAGGUGCAGUACUGAGUUUUUUAGUGAACUGUAGUUUGACUCAACAGCAGUCCAAGGUAGAUACUAUUAUUAUCCA